ACAAGGAACCUUAAGCCCAUUUCCAGCUUGACUUCUUCCCCUUUGCCAUGGAAGAUGCUCGAGCCACACCCAGUACCUCAGUUCACUUUCUGUUGCCUGCGGAUCAAAGAUACAGGACUCCUGGCUCCUUCUCCAGCAUAUGUCUGUCUGCAUGCCGACAUGUCCCCCUGUGAUGACAAUGAACUGAACCUCUGAAAAUAUCUUCAAGUUCCACUGAAGCUGAACCGGAAGGAGACAUAAGCUGGGAAGGUACUGGAGCAUCAGUGUCUUCAGCAUGAAAUAUUUGCCUAAGCCUAGGCCACAAAGAGACACUUCCUC
This is a long non-coding RNA of Alexandromys fortis (reed vole), 318 nucleotides long. RefSeq lists it as uncharacterized. The transcript is spliced from 3 exons. The record is from RefSeq and is a predicted model, not a curated record. NCBI's taxonomy places the organism in Eukaryota, Metazoa, Chordata, Mammalia, Rodentia, Cricetidae.